UCUAGAGGUCAUAGCAAGAGGGCCACACCUGUUCCCGUUCCGAACACAGUAGUUAAGCCUCUUCGCGCCGAUGGUACUCGGACGGUAUGUCCCGGGAGAGUAGGUCGCCUCUAGAU
This 116-nucleotide ribosomal RNA is filed under the name Fibrobacterales bacterium. The record is from RNAcentral. Lineage: Bacteria; Pseudomonadati; Fibrobacterota; Fibrobacteria; Fibrobacterales.